UAAGGGAUAUUGCGCAAUGGGCGAAAGCCUGACGCAGCAACGCCGCGUGGAGGACGACGGCCUUCGGGUUGUAAACUCCUUUGGGCAGGGACGAGAAUGGACGGUACCUGCCAAACAAGUCACGGCUAACUACGUGCCAGCAGCCGCGGUAAAACGUAGGUGGCAAGCGUUAUCCGGAUUUACUGGGCGUAAAGGGUGUGCAGGCGGGGGGUCAAGUGGGGUCUGAAAUCGCCCGGCUCAACCGGGCGGGGUGAUGCCAGACUGACCCUCUAGAGACGGAGAGAGGGGCGUGGAAUUCCGGGUGUAGUGGUGAAAUGCGUAGAGAUCCGGAGGAACCCCCGAGGCGAAGGCGGCGCCCUGGCUCCGUUCUGACGCUCAGACACGACAGCAUGGGGAGCGAACGGGAUUAGAAACCCCGGUAGUCCAUGCCGUAAACGAUGCCAACUAGGCGCUGGGGGAGUGAAAUUCCUCGGUGCCGCAGCCAACGCGUUAAGUUGGCCGCCUGGGGAGUACGGUCGCAAGGCUAA
This 527-nucleotide ribosomal RNA is filed under the name uncultured bacterium. Its description in RNAcentral is "bacterial SSU rRNA". It matches the Rfam family "Bacterial small subunit ribosomal RNA", at positions 355 to 897 of the family's 1533-position model. The record is from RNAcentral.